This 95-nucleotide ribosomal RNA is filed under the name Cricetulus griseus (Chinese hamster). The record is from RNAcentral. Lineage: Eukaryota; Metazoa; Chordata; Mammalia; Rodentia; Cricetidae.
UGUUCCUUCCAUACCACCCUGAACGCUCCCGAUCUCGUCUGAUCUCGUAAGCUAAGCAGGGUCGGGCCUGGUUAGUACUUGGAUGGGAGGUACAA